This 426-nucleotide ribosomal RNA is filed under the name uncultured bacterium. RNAcentral describes it as "bacterial SSU rRNA". It matches the Rfam family "Bacterial small subunit ribosomal RNA", at positions 355 to 774 of the family's 1533-position model. The record is from RNAcentral.
UGGGGAAUCUUGCGCAAUGGGCGAAAGCCUGACGCAGCGACGCCGCGUGCGGGAAGAAGGCCUUCGGGUUGUAAACCGCUUUCAGGAGGGACGAAGCCACUCGGGUGAACAGCCCAGAGGGUGACGGUACCUCCAGAAGAAGCCCCGGCUAACUACGUGCCAGCAGCCGCGGUAAUACGUAGGGGGCAAGCGUUGUCCGGAUUCAUUGGGCGUAAAGAGCGUGUAGGCGGCCAGGUAGGUCGGUUGUGAAAACUGGAGGCUCAACCUUCAGAGGUCGACCGAAACCAGCUGGCUAGGGUCCGGGAGAGGAGAGUGGAAUUCCUGGUGUAGCGGUGAAAUGCGCAGAUAUCAGGAAGAACACCCGUGGCGAAAGCGGCUCUCUGGAACGGUACUGACGCUGAGACGCGAAAGCGUGGGGAGCGAACA